RNAcentral lists this long non-coding RNA (940 nucleotides) under Medicago truncatula (barrel medic). RNAcentral describes it as "long non-coding RNA (MTRU_LNC003388)". The record is from RNAcentral. Lineage: Eukaryota; Viridiplantae; Streptophyta; Magnoliopsida; Fabales; Fabaceae.
UCUCUAUUUAUAGAGUCAUUGGGCUCAUAUAGCCGUUGUAGGGUGUCCAAUGGUGUUAUGCCAUGUGUCCUGGGUCCCACAAGCUUUUACUGAAAUUUUCGGCAAACAUUCUGAUCACUGAUGAACUUCAUGUUGUUGUGUUCAUGAUGAUCUUCAUCUGGGUUCAUCAUGUAUGAAUGUACACAUGAAUUUAUGGGCGUGUCAUAUGCUUUUCAUAUGAGUUUCUGGGCAAUAAUUAAAGUAUGGGCUUUUCCACAUACAUCAUAAAGUGGCUGCCAAAAAUCUCUAUCACUUCUCAGCCAAACAAAUGGAUUCCAAAUUUGUGGUGAGUUUGACUAAUCUCAAGACCACAUAUAGUCGAUAUGUGCUUGCAAAAGUCAAAGAAAUGAUCCUUAAUUGGAUACUCCCUCUGUCUCACACUAAUUGUCUUUUUAAUAUUUUUUCUUUUUCUCAAAAUAAUUGUCACUUUACAUAACCAAUGCAACAUUUUUUUCCCAUUAUUAUACAUUUAUUUAAUUAAUUUCAUUCAACUUAACUACUCCACUAACUACAAUUAAUAAGGGUAUUUUAGUAAAUGAUAUUAAUUUUACCAUUGAAAUCAACACAAUUAAUCAUUUCCUAAAUUAAUCGUGCAGAAACCUUAAAGACUAUAAUUUAGAAACGAAAGGAGUAGAUAAAAAGACUGUGAAUCUUCUGUUCUACUUUGUCAAUAUUCACUUGCGGAAGAAAUUGGUUUGGGUGAUAGGUUUUAGAUAUUAGUUUGCUAAACCACUCUUGAUUUAAGUACUCUCAAAAUGUAAUGUUGUCCAAGCAUUAGCUUAUUUAGCUAUGUGUGCUACCUUUAAUGUGUUGAUGAGGAAUGUCUCUACACAUUGUAUUUUAAUAAUUUGUAAUGCUCUUUGUUUCAAUCAAUAAAAUUAUAUGUUUACCGUAAAAAAAA